GGAAGGGGCCUACCCAAUGGGCAAUUAUAUCAUAGAGCAGCAGUAUUGGCCAUCCUCUUCCCCGUCACCCAACAAGCUAAUUGCCCACAAUGGGUAUCCAUAGAACAGCACUGGUUGCAAAACCAAGACAUUAAAACAAUAAUGUGGUUACCCCCACACCAUAGGGGCAACACCACCCAAGCACUCCCAGCCACCCUGGCAACGUUAAAAAUUUGGGACGUCUCGC
Non-coding RNA from Pelobates cultripes (western spadefoot toad), 226 nucleotides. The record is from the annotation of a GenBank genome assembly. Lineage: Eukaryota; Metazoa; Chordata; Amphibia; Anura; Pelobatidae.